GACGAACGCUGGCGGCGUGCCUAAUACAUGCAAGUAGAACGCUGAAGAGAGGAGCCUGCUCUUCUUGGAUGAGUUGCGAACGGGUGAGUAACGCGUAGGUAACCUGCCUGGUAGCGGGGGAUAACUAUUGGAAACGAUAGCUAAUACCGCAUAAAAUUGAUUAUCGCAUGAUAAUCAAUUGAAAGGUGCAAAUGCAUCACUACCAGAUGGACCUGCGUUGUAUUAGCUAGUUGGUGGGGUAACGGCUCACCAAGGCGACGAUACAUAGCCGACCUGAGAGGGUGAUCGGCCACACUGGGACUGAGACACGGCCCAGACUCCUACGGGAGGCAGCAGUAGGGAAUCUUCGGCAAUGGACGGAAGUCUGACCGAGCAACGCCGCGUGAGUGAAGAAGGUUUUCGGAUCGUAAAGCUCUGUUGUAAGAGAAGAACGAGUGUGAGAGUGGAAAGUUCACACUGUGACGGUAUCUUACCAGAAAGGGACGGCUAACUACGUGCCAGCAGCCGCGGUAAUACGUAGGUCCCGAGCGUUGUCCGGAUUUAUUGGGCGUAAAGCGAGCGCAGGCGGUUAGAUAAGUCUGAAGUUAAAGGCUGUGGCUUAACCAUAGUACGCUUUGGAAACUGUUUAACUUGAGUGCAAGAGGGGAGAGUGGAAUUCCAUGUGUAGCGGUGAAAUGCGUAGAUAUAUGGAGGAACACCAGUGGCGAAAGCGGCUCUCUGGCUUGUAACUGACGCUGAGGCUCGAAAGCGUGGGGAGCAAANNNG
RNAcentral lists this ribosomal RNA (765 nucleotides) under uncultured Streptococcus sp. RNAcentral's name for it is "bacterial SSU rRNA". It matches the Rfam family "Bacterial small subunit ribosomal RNA", at positions 28 to 776 of the family's 1533-position model. The record is from RNAcentral. Lineage: Bacteria; Bacillati; Bacillota; Bacilli; Lactobacillales; Streptococcaceae.